RNAcentral lists this ribosomal RNA (302 nucleotides) under uncultured bacterium. RNAcentral's name for it is "partial 16S ribosomal RNA". It matches the Rfam family "Bacterial small subunit ribosomal RNA", at positions 508 to 809 of the family's 1533-position model. The record is from RNAcentral.
GCAGUAGCCGCGGUAAUACAGAGGGUGCGAGCGUUAAUCGGAUUUACUGGGCGUAAAGCGUGCGUAGGCGGCUUCUUAAGUCGGAUGUGAAAUCCCUGAGCUUAACUUAGGAAUUGCAUUCGAUACUGGGAAGCUAGAGUAUGGGAGAGGAUGGUAGAAUUCCAGGUGUAGCGGUGAAAUGCGUAGAGAUCUGGAGGAAUACCGAUGGCGAAGGCAGCCAUCUGGCCUAAUACUGACGCUGAGGUACGAAAGCAUGGGGAGCAAACAGGAUUAGACCCCCGUAGUCCCUGUCUCUUAUACAC